Molecule: ribosomal RNA, 471 nt
Filed under: uncultured bacterium
Lineage: Bacteria
Description: bacterial SSU rRNA
Rfam family: Bacterial small subunit ribosomal RNA
Source: RNAcentral
CUUAACACAUGCAAGUCGAGGGGCAGCAUGAUAAGUAGCAAUACUUAUUGAUGGCGACCGGCGCAAGGGUGCGUAACGCGUGAGUAACAUGCCCGUAUCAGGAGGAUAACCCGGAGAAAUCCGGACUAAUACUGCAUAAUAUCGAUUUAAGGCAUCUUAGAAUGAUUAAAGUUUCGACGGAUACGGAUUGGCUCGCGUGACAUUAGCUAGAUGGUAAGGUAACGGCUUACCAUGGCGACGAUGUCUAGGGGUUCUGAGAGGAAGGUCCCCCACACUGGAACUGAGACACGGUCCAGACUCCUACGGGAGGCAGCAGUGAGGAAUAUUGGACAAUGGAUGGAAAUCUGAUCCAGCCAUGCCGCGUGAAGGAAUACGGUCCUAUGGAUUUUAAACUUCUUUUGUAUGGGAGCAAUAAGGUGUACGCGUACAUCGAUGAGAGUACCAUACGAAUAAGCAUCGGCUAACUCCGUG